Molecule: ribosomal RNA, 539 nt
Filed under: uncultured Alcaligenaceae bacterium
Lineage: Bacteria; Pseudomonadati; Pseudomonadota; Betaproteobacteria; Burkholderiales; Alcaligenaceae
Description: bacterial SSU rRNA
Rfam family: Bacterial small subunit ribosomal RNA
Source: RNAcentral
UCUGGCGGCGAGUGGCGAACGGGUGAGUAAUGUAUCGGAACGUGCCUAGUAGCGGGGGAUAACUACUCGAAAGAGUGGCUAAUACCGCAUACGCCCUACGGGGGAAAGGGGGGGAUCGAAAGACCUCUCACUAUUAGAGCGGCCGAUAUCGGAUUAGCUAGUUGGUGAGGUAAAGGCUCACCAAGGCGACGAUCCGUAGCUGGUUUGAGAGGACGACCAGCCACACUGGGACUGAGACACGGCCCAGACUCCUACGGGAGGCAGCAGUGGGGAAUUUUGGACAAUGGGGGAAACCCUGAUCCAGCCAUUCCGCGUGUGCGAUGAAGGCCUUCGGGUUGUAAAGCACUUUUGGCAGGAAAGAAAUCGCAUCAAUUAAUACUUGGUGUGGAUGACGGUACCUGCAGAAUAAGCACCGGCUAACUACGUGCCAGCAGCCGCGGUAAUACGUAGGGUGCAAGCGUUAAUCGGAAUUACUGGGCGUAAAGGGAGCGUAGGUGGCUCGAUAAGUCAGAUGUGAAAUCCCCGGGCUCAACCUGGGA